This 542-nucleotide ribosomal RNA is filed under the name Parribacus antarcticus. Its description in RNAcentral is "partial 16S ribosomal RNA". It matches the Rfam family "Bacterial large subunit ribosomal RNA", at positions 1819 to 2625 of the family's 2925-position model. Lineage: Eukaryota; Metazoa; Arthropoda; Malacostraca; Decapoda; Scyllaridae. The record is from RNAcentral.
GUCUUUAUGGAAUUAAUAUAAAGUCUGAUCUGCCCAAUGAUAAGUAAUUUUAAUGGCCGCGGUAUAUUGACCGUGCGAAGGUAGCAUAAUAAUUUGUCCUUUAAUUAAGGACUAGAAUGAAUGAUUGAACAAGAAGGUAACUGUCUCUAAGUUAUAACUUGAAAUUAACAUUUAAGUGAAAAGGCUUAAAUAAGUUAAGGGGACGAUAAGACCCUAUAAAUCUUUAUAUUUGUUUUUAUUAAAUUAAAAAAUAAUAACAAACUUAGUUUAAUGAAUUUAAAUAUUUUGUUGGGGAGACAGAAGUAUAAAUAGUAACUGCUUUAAAAUUUAAGUUAAUAAUGUUUAAUAUAAAGACCCUGUAAUAUAGGUAUUAGUUUAAGUUACUUUAGGGAUAACAGCGUAAUUUUUUUUAAGAGUUCAUAUCGAAAAAAAAGAUUGCGACCUCGAUGUUGAAUUAAAGAUCCUUUGCGGCGUAGGGGCUGUAAUAGGGGGUCUGUUCGACCCUUAAAACUUUACAUGAUUUGAGUUCAGACCGGCGCAAG